AACAAAUGUGAUUAGGAAAGUUUCAGGUAUAAAUGAUGCAAAAUACAGCAAUUUAUGGCUUACUUGACGCAAAAGAAAGCUCACAAACGAGAUGGAAAGGAGCUGGACGCAUAAAGGACUAAAUCUGCUGCAUGGAAAAUCUGUCCCGGGCUAAAACAGCAUUUCUGAAGACUUUGGGACUUACAGACACAAAGCUGGAUUUUUGCCAUAAUACAUUAACCUAGUGCAAUUAGGUUAUGUGUUUCAUCAUUCUAUUUGGAUUAUAAUUUUGUAACCUUACCCUAGUACAAUUGGGUCAAGGAUUUCAUUAGUAUAUUAGGAUUUGGUUAUUUAUUUUAUUAGUUUAGGAGGAGUAGGAUAGGAGUAUUAUAAAUACCCUAUCAUGUUAGAGAUUUUAAAG
This 400-nucleotide long non-coding RNA is filed under the name Capsicum annuum. Its description in RNAcentral is "long non-coding RNA (CANN_LNC002174)". The record is from RNAcentral. Lineage: Eukaryota; Viridiplantae; Streptophyta; Magnoliopsida; Solanales; Solanaceae.